RNAcentral lists this ribosomal RNA (373 nucleotides) under Rhizobiaceae bacterium. RNAcentral describes it as "bacterial SSU rRNA". It matches the Rfam family "Bacterial small subunit ribosomal RNA", at positions 100 to 509 of the family's 1533-position model. Lineage: Bacteria; Pseudomonadati; Pseudomonadota; Alphaproteobacteria; Hyphomicrobiales; Rhizobiaceae. The record is from RNAcentral.
GGGUGAAGUAACCGCGUGGGAAUCUACCCGUGCCCUGCGGAAUAGCUCCGGGAAACUGGAAUUAAUACCGCAUACGCCCUACGGGGGAAAGAUUUAUCGGGGUAUGAUGAGCCCGCGUUGGAUUAGCUAGUUGGUGGGGUAAAGGCCUACCAAGGCGACGAUCCAUAGCUGGUCUGAGAGGAUGAUCAGCCACAUUGGGACUGAGACACGGCCCAAACUCCUACGGGAGGCAGCAGUGGGGAAUAUUGGACAAUGGGCGCAAGCCUGAUCCAGCCAUGCCGCGUGAGUGAUGAAGGCCUUAGGGUUGUAAAGCUCUUUCACCGGAGAAGAUAAUGACGGUAUCCGGAGAAGAAGCCCCGGCUAACUUCGUGCC